Molecule: ribosomal RNA, 1170 nt
Filed under: human gut metagenome
Description: bacterial LSU rRNA
Rfam family: Bacterial large subunit ribosomal RNA
Source: RNAcentral
CUGGUCGAGUGACCCUGCGCCGAAAAUUCAACGGGGCUAAAAUCUAUACCGAAGCUUGGGCUGCAAUACGAAAGUAUUGCGGGGUAGGGGAGCGUCGUAUAAGAGGAGAAGUCAUAGCGGAAGCGAUGGUGGAUUUUAUACGAGUGAGAAUGCCGGAAUGAGUAGCGAGAAUUAUGUGAGAAUCAUAAUGGCCGAAAGUCUAAGGAUUUAGGAGGAAGGUUCGUCCGCUCCUAGUAAGCCGGGAGCUAAGGCGAGGCGGAAACGCGUAGCCGAUGCACAUACGGUAGAAAUUCCGUAGCCUCUGAAAGAUUAAAGCACAAGGACACUUGAGAAGCGUUUAGCCGGGCGUUGGUUGCCCCGGUCGUAAGGGACUCCGAAUGGAGGAAGUAAAUGUGGAUUGAGGCAAGAAAAGUUGUGCGUAUAUCUGAAGAGCCCGUACCGCAAACCGACACAGGUAGACAGGAAGAGGAUUCUAAGGCCAACGGGAGAAGGGUUGUUAAGGAACUCGGCAAGUUGACCCCGUAACUUAGGGAGAAGGGGUGCUCGAAAGAGCCGCAGAGAAUAGGCCCAAGCGACUGUUUAGCAAAAACACAGCUCUAUGCUAAAUCGAAAGAUGACGUAUAUGGGGUGACACCUGCCCGGUGCUGGAAGGUUAAGAGGAGAAGUGAGAGCUUUGAAUUGAAGCCCCAGUAAACGGCGGCCGUAACUAUAACGGUCCUAAGGUAGCGAAAUUCCUUGUCAGGUAAGUUCUGACCCGCACGAAUGGUGUAACGAUUUGGGCACUGUCUCAACAACCCACCCGGCGAAAUUGUAGUACCGGUGAAGAUGCCGGUUACCCGCGACUAGACGGAAAGACCCCAUGGAGCUUCACUGUAGCUUAAUAUUGAGUUUUGGUAUUUCAUGUACAGGAUAGGUGGGAGACUGAGAAGCAUAGGCGUCAGCUUAUGUGGAGUCGCUGUUGGGAUACCACUCUUGAAGUGCUGAAAUUCUAACCUGCGCCCUUGAAUCAGGGCGGGGGACAUUGUUAGGUGGGCAGUUUGACUGGGGCGGUCGCCUCCAAAAGAGUAACGGAGGCGCUCAAAGGUUCGCUCAGCAUGGAUGGAAACCAUGCUAUUGAGUGUAAACGCAAAAGCGAGCCUAACUGCGAGACUGACGGGUCGAGCAGUAACG